GGAGAAAGCAUGAAAGAUCCGAGCUAGUGGCCCUUGUCCCAGGUCGACCUGCCCAGAGGAGACAGGCACAGGCAGAUAGGGCCAGAGGCCCUACUGUUGAUGCAGGGGUGGCACUGUCCCCGAAGAUAAGGAAAGAAUUCACUUUAAGUGCCCUGGGUGGGGGAAGAGAUAAGAUGCCGUGGACACAGAGACAGCCAGGAAAGAGGGCAGGCACCAGGAAUGCAGACCCUUGACCAGACCCCUCUGGGGCACACAGAUGCAUGCAGUGGGGGUUUCCUCCUUCCCCACCUUAUGUGGUGGCCUCUACCAAGGGCUGGAGUGUCCCCCCUGGUGUUCAGGGCACCGGUAUAUGGGGGCAGCUGUGCCAAAGUAAAUGGGGGAGGGGCCAUUGGGUGACUUGGCUCCUCAUUCCCUCUGCUUCCCUCUGUCUCCUCCUGCUUUUGAUGACAGCCCUGGGGACUCCAGCCUUCUUGAGGUUGAAUCUUGGAGACUGUGUACCCCCGGAGAUGUCCAACUCACCCCUGCAGCUGCCCACUGGCCUGGCCCAGCACCACUCUUUCUGGAAGGACCCCAGAGUCUGUCCCCGAGUUCAGUCCCCUUCCCCUUCCUGGGCACUUGUUCUGUCUCUGCAACUCCCCUGAUGUUCCCCAGGCCUCCUGUAGCUGGAGCCACCCUCCUGUCACACCCACCCCUUUCAGCCACCUGCUUCAUUCCCCAGCAGGCUUGUGGGGAUUUGCAGUGGAGAACGACCCUCUGAUUUGGACCCUGUCGUGGGUUGCAUUUUGCCAUCUGGAAAGAGAUGUUGAAGUCCUGACCUUUGGUACCUCAAAUGUGACCUCUGAUGGUUGGGUGUCUCCAAUGAUCAGGUUAAGAGACGCUUUUCCUGGAGGUGGGCUCCUAACGAAUCCCCUGUUACCUGGCCCUGCAUGGAGGCCGAGUUGGAUACAGACAGGCACAUACAGCGGGAAGGUGAUGUGUCAACACAGGGGAAGGACUGGGGGACGAUGCUGCAAAGCAAGGCUGGCACCUGAGCUUGGACUUGAAGCCUCCAGCACUGUCACACGAUACAAGCGGUUGUUUUAAGCCACCCAGCCUGUGGUACUUUGCAGCCCUAGGCCCCCCGCCAUGUUGUCAGCCGAGAUGUGGGAGGCAGUGUGAGAAUUCCCAGCAGAGACUGGCUGCCGAGAGGUGCGAUGGGAGCAGCAGGUGUGCACCGGGUGACCAUGACCCUCUCUGGGGUCUGGGGUGAGGGGGGCGCCUAAGACCACCUGGAGAUGAGUCAAGCUGGUUGGAACCUAUGAGGCUUCAGUUCCACCCCCUCGUUGUGGUCCCCACCCACAUCCAUUUUGUUUUGGGUCUCCUCCAUGCUUUCAUGACCAA
This 1380-nucleotide long non-coding RNA is filed under the name Marmota monax (woodchuck). The record is from RNAcentral. Lineage: Eukaryota; Metazoa; Chordata; Mammalia; Rodentia; Sciuridae.